UCCGUAGCCGGCCCUUCAAGUCUCUUGUUAAAUCCAGCGAUUCAAUCGUUGGACUGCAGGAGAUACUGCUGGGCUAGAGGGCGGGAGAAGCCGACGGUAUUCCCGGUGUAGGGGUAAAAUCCUAUAAUCCCGGGAAGACCACCAGUGGCGUAGGCGGUCGGCUAGCACGCGCUUGACGGUGAGGGACGAAAGCUGGGGGAGCGAACCGGAUUAGAUACCCGGGUAGUCCCAGCUGUAAACGAUGCGGGCUAGGUGUUGGAGCGGCUACGAGCCGCUUCAGUGCCGCAGGGAAGCCAUUAAGCCCGCCGCCUGGGGAGUACGGCCGCAAGGCUGAA
RNAcentral lists this ribosomal RNA (335 nucleotides) under uncultured bacterium. Its description in RNAcentral is "bacterial SSU rRNA". It matches the Rfam family "Archaeal small subunit ribosomal RNA", at positions 518 to 853 of the family's 1478-position model. The record is from RNAcentral.